GCAGAAGGUGCCUCCUCUGAUCCCACCACAGAGGCUGCUGCAGCUGCUGAACCGGAAGGGACUACAUCUGCAGCAAAACCUGCUUCACCCCAAGAGCCCGCCCAGGAACCACAAAGUGCCGCCCCAAGUAAAGAAGAACUAAACCUAUUGAAAUUCCUGGCAAACAAAGAUCUCUUGGUAUCAGGACAUGGCUUAGAAGGAGCAAAAAAAACACUGCAUAAAAGAGUUGAGUUUGGAAGACGUCUUUAUGAGGGUGGAGCUGAAUGGGGACGAAAUCUGAGAAACUGGGGUGCAAAACUGAAUGUAGUUGGGGUCUGAGAAGUUGAAAAGAAUGGGAUCAAAGCCUUAACCAUGCUUGCAGCCCAGCAUGAUUAAACUGAAGCAUCUAACU
RNAcentral lists this long non-coding RNA (391 nucleotides) under Neogale vison (American mink). RNAcentral's name for it is "Neovison vison (American mink) lncRNA (ENSNVIG00000003025.1)". Lineage: Eukaryota; Metazoa; Chordata; Mammalia; Carnivora; Mustelidae. The record is from RNAcentral.